Molecule: ribosomal RNA, 1546 nt
Filed under: Salmonella enterica
Lineage: Bacteria; Pseudomonadati; Pseudomonadota; Gammaproteobacteria; Enterobacterales; Enterobacteriaceae
Also listed under: 2 other names
Description: partial 23S ribosomal RNA
Rfam family: Bacterial large subunit ribosomal RNA
Source: RNAcentral
CUGGAGGUAUCAGAAGUGCGAAUGCUGACAUAAGUAACGAUAAAGCGGGUGAAAAGCCCGCUCGCCGGAAGACCAAGGGUUCCUGUCCAACGUUAAUCGGGGCAGGGUGAGUCGACCCCUAAGGCGAGGCCGAAAGGCGUAGUCGAUGGGAAACGGGUUAAUAUUCCCGUACUUGGUGUUACUGCGAAGGGGGGACGGAGAAGGCUAUGUUGGCCGGGCGACGGUUGUCCCGGUUUAAGCGUGUAGGUGUGUGUUCCAGGUAAAUCCGGUUCACUUUAACACUGAGGCGUGAUGACGAGGCACUACGGUGCUGAAGCAACAAAUGCCCUGCUUCCAGGAAAAGCCUCUAAGCAUCAGGUAACAUCAAAUCGUACCCCAAACCGACACAGGUGGUCAGGUAGAGAAUACCAAGGCGCUUGAGAGAACUCGGGUGAAGGAACUAGGCAAAAUGGUGCCGUAACUUCGGGAGAAGGCACGCUGACACGUAGGUGAAGUGAUUUACUCACGGAGCUGAAGUCAGUCGAAGAUACCAGCUGGCUGCAACUGUUUAUUAAAAACACAGCACUGUGCAAACACGAAAGUGGACGUAUACGGUGUGACGCCUGCCCGGUGCCGGAAGGUUAAUUGAUGGGGUCAGCGCAAGCGAAGCUCCUGAUCGAAGCCCCGGUAAACGGCGGCCGUAACUAUAACGGUCCUAAGGUAGCGAAAUUCCUUGUCGGGUAAGUUCCGACCUGCACGAAUGGCGUAAUGAUGGCCAGGCUGUCUCCACCCGAGACUCAGUGAAAUUGAACUCGCUGUGAAGAUGCAGUGUACCCGCGGCAAGACGGAAAGACCCCGUGAACCUUUACUAUAGCUUGACACUGAACAUUGAGCCUUGAUGUGUAGGAUAGGUGGGAGGCUUUGAAGUGUGGACGCCAGUCUGCAUGGAGCCGACCUUGAAAUACCACCCUUUAAUGUUUGAUGUUCUAACGUGGACCCGUAAUCCGGGUUGCGGACAGUGUCUGGUGGGUAGUUUGACUGGGGCGGUCUCCUCCUAAAGAGUAACGGAGGAGCACGAAGGUUGGCUAAUCCUGGUCGGACAUCAGGAGGUUAGUGCAAUGGCAUAAGCCAGCUUGACUGCGAGCGUGACGGCGCGAGCAGGUGCGAAAGCAGGUCAUAGUGAUCCGGUGGUUCUGAAUGGAAGGGCCAUCGCUCAACGGAUAAAAGGUACUCCGGGGAUAACAGGCUGAUACCGCCCAAGAGUUCAUAUCGACGGCGGUGUUUGGCACCUCGAUGUCGGCUCAUCACAUCCUGGGGCUGAAGUAGGUCCCAAGGGUAUGGCUGUUCGCCAUUUAAAGUGGUACGCGAGCUGGGUUUAGAACGUCGUGAGACAGUUCGGUCCCUAUCUGCCGUGGGCGCUGGAGAACUGAGGGGGGCUGCUCCUAGUACGAGAGGACCGGAGUGGACGCAUCACUGGUGUUCGGGUUGUCAUGCCAAUGGCACUGCCCGGUAGCUAAAUGCGGAAGAGAUAAGUGCUGAAAGCAUCUAAGCACGAAACUUGCCCCGA